RNAcentral lists this ribosomal RNA (442 nucleotides) under uncultured bacterium. RNAcentral describes it as "bacterial SSU rRNA". It matches the Rfam family "Bacterial small subunit ribosomal RNA", at positions 8 to 481 of the family's 1533-position model. The record is from RNAcentral.
AGAGUUUGAUCCUGGCUCAGAAUGAACGUUGGCGGCGUGGAUUAGGCAUGCAAGUCGUACGGGCCGCAAGCCAGUGGCGCAAGGGUGAGUAAGGCGACGGCAACCAACCCCAUAACUGGGUAUAGCCGCGGGAAACUGCGGGUAAUCCCCAGCGAUGUCCGCGGGAGGCAUCUCCUGUGGACCAAAGCUCCGGCGUCGUGGGGACGGGCCGUCGUGGUAUUAGGUGGUUGGCGGGGUAACGGCCCACCAAGCCUGUGAUGCCUACCGGGCGUGCGAGCGUGGCCCGGCACACUGGGACUGAGACACUGCCCAGACUCCUACGGGAGGCAGCAGUGGGGAAUCUUGCACAAUGGGGGAAACCCUGAUGCAGCGACGCCGCGUGAGCGAUGAAGCCCUUCGGGGUGUAAAGCUCUUUCGUCAGGGAAGAUAGUGACGGUACCUG